GAUUAUAAUCGCAGCUUAGGCAAGUAAUUGACUAUCUGGGAUGUAUUUUGCUGCUUUACUUCGUGUUAUGAAUAUCAAUCGACUUUAACCUGACGUUUGUUAAGAGGUUAGCGUACUCUAAAGCUUUCAUGAGUGUAUCAAUUAUUCAAAAAACUAAGGGUCUCUUAUAUUUAAAGUGACAUGUUGCAUUUCAAGUGACAGUUCAAUUUCCUGGUUUUGUUGGGUCUUGGGACCUCAACUUGUCCUUCAUUUCUGGUAACUUGGAAUCAGAGGGGGGGCAUUAAAGGGCAUGCACUACAUCAUUCUAGCUUAUAUAUGAGGUCAUUAAAAAUUCAAUAUUCUACGGAGCUGAGAAAUAGAGAGUGAGAGACUAACCUUGAUAGAGCCAAUUCAUAUGAUCUCACCUCCAUUACUCCGAGCUCACUUGAUAGAUGAAAUCAAGUUCUUGGAGUAGAAGCGUUUUCAAUAUUUUUCCGGAGCCAGAACUUGCAUGUUUGAUUGAGCCAAAUCAAUUUUUAUUUGUAUUUAGCAUCACACAUGGUGUUAGGAUGACAUGUCUGAAACAUGUGAUAGGAUUAAUAAAUUGCACAUGUUGUAGUCUGGAAUUUUUUCUCUGAAUUUCAAGACUCAUAGCAUAAUACUAUGCUUCUAAUGUUAGCCAUCUUAUGACUUUUGAAGUUCUCAUGCUAAAAAAGGGAUAUGGCAGUUCUCAGUUGCAGCUGUUACUUGUUCCUUUACUGUUAUUGUGUAUUCCUUUCUUGCAUGGUUCUUGUUAUAAUUUUAAGAUAGAGAAAUCCACAAAUAUUUGCCACUAUUUUAGUGCUAUCAAUUUAAUAUAUAUACAGGUGCAUGUUGAGAGCGGUUUGGUGCGUGGGAGGGUUACGGAACAGCGCGACGGCACGACCGCAGGCCUAGGAACGCUGGUCUUGCUUCAUGUGGACAGGAGCAGGUAUCAGAGUGUGAACCAUAUGGGGAUUGGAGUUGUUAUUCGCAAUGCAGGUGGCAAUUGGGUCUCCGGGGUUUCUGGAAGCACUGGGCAUGCAUGGCAAUGCUUUUCUUGCAAAAAUCCUAGCUGUAGAGAAACGGUUGCAGCUUGGUUGGGAUAUGGGGCAUAAAAUGGUGUUAUGCUUUUCAGAUUGCAGGGGCGUUGUGCGUGUGCCUACCAAUUAAUAUGGGUAUCACACGCAAAACAUGUGGGUACCACAGAAUUCACCCUUUUUUUUCAGAAUUCUCUAUCAUUAAUAGGUUGUACUUGUGCUCAGGGAUUAAAAAUGUGCAAUCAAGUCUAUUAUUUGAAUCUUUGGAAAAAACG
Molecule: long non-coding RNA, 1312 nt
Organism: Lotus japonicus
Lineage: Eukaryota; Viridiplantae; Streptophyta; Magnoliopsida; Fabales; Fabaceae
Exons: 3
Source: RefSeq, a predicted model, not a curated record